This 253-nucleotide ribosomal RNA is filed under the name uncultured bacterium. RNAcentral's name for it is "partial 16S ribosomal RNA". It matches the Rfam family "Bacterial small subunit ribosomal RNA", at positions 524 to 776 of the family's 1533-position model. The record is from RNAcentral.
UACAGAGGGGGCAAGCGUUGUUCGGAAUUACUGGGCGUAAAGGGCGCGUAGGCGGCCUGUUAAGUCGAACGUGAAAUCCCUGGGCUCAACCCAGGAACUGCGUCCGAUACUGGCAGGCUUGAAUCCGGGAGAGGGAUGCGGAAUUCCAGGUGUAGCGGUGAAAUGCGUAGAUAUCUGGAGGAACACCGGUGGCGAAGGCGACAUCCUGGACCGGCAUUGACGCUGAGGAGCGAAAGCGUGGGGAGCGAACAGG